This 252-nucleotide ribosomal RNA is filed under the name uncultured bacterium. RNAcentral describes it as "partial 16S ribosomal RNA". It matches the Rfam family "Bacterial small subunit ribosomal RNA", at positions 524 to 776 of the family's 1533-position model. The record is from RNAcentral.
UACGUAGGGGGCAAGCGUUGUCCGGAAUUAUUGGGCGUAAAGCGCGCGCAGGCGGCUCUUUAAGUCUGGUGUUUAAUCCCGAGGCUCAACUUCGGGUCGCACUGGAAACUGGGGAGCUUGAGUGCAGAAGAGGAGAGUGGAAUUCCACGUGUAGCGGUGGAAUGCGUAGAGAUGUGGAGGAACACCAGUGGCGAAGGCGACUCUCUGGGCUGUAACUGACGCUGAGGCGCGAAAGCGUGGGGAGCAAACAGG